CAUAUGAUAUGAUAUGCGUAUGAAGCGAUGAUGAAAACAUCGUCAUAGAGCUUGCUCGUGGCCGCAGAAGAGAAAACCCUAACAACGGAGGAAGACGAAAGAGAAGAGGACCGACCCGUUAUCACCCGAUCCGACCCGUAUCUACCUGGUACGUCUCUGUCCUUCCUGGUUUUACUCUGUCAAUUAGUGUUUAUUCCAUUCGCAAGAUUCAUCUGUUUUGUUAUUUAUUGAAUCAUUGAGCAAGCACUUGAAAAUCGAUCACAUCUCUUAAAUUACAUUUUUGCUUUUAUCUUUCUCCUAAAAAUUUCAUGGUCUACAGUGGUACGUCUCUGUCCUUCUUGGUUUUACUUCGCCAAUUAGUGUUUAUUCCAUUCGCAAGAUUCAUCUGUUUAUUAUUUAUUUAAUCAUUGAGCAAUCACUUAAAAGUUGAUCGCUUCUCUUAAAAUUACAUAUUUGCUUUUAUCUUCCUCCUAAAAAUUGCAUAUUUUACAACACUUUCGUGUCUUUGUAUUCGCAUAUGCAUGAGUUUAAUUUUGUAAGUUUGUCUUAUUCGUAAUAGCUUUACUAUUGUCACAUGGGUGAAGUUUGAAUCGCUGCAAGUACUUUUGUAAGUUUAUGUAUAAUCUUUUGCUUCUUGUUUGAUCAUCUAAUACCUGAAAAAUUAAUGAUUUUUUUUUUUUUUUUUGGUGAAACCAUUUAGUUUUACUCUGCCUGUUUAUUUCGUUGUUCUUUUCGUAAGUGUUCGGUUCAUUCUUGACUUUGUGGUUCUUUUCAUUUUCCUCCUAGUAUGAUCGAAUUUUUUAAAUUAUUGUCAAGUCUACUCAUUGAUAAUUUUGAUUGUUGAAGAUUGAUUUUCCCGUCAAUAGGAUGGUAUUCAUGGUUUGUUAGCUGAUGGUUUCCACAAGGUCAUCCAUAGUGUGUUGUUAAAA
RNAcentral lists this long non-coding RNA (929 nucleotides) under Carica papaya (papaya). RNAcentral describes it as "long non-coding RNA (CPAP_LNC013436)". The record is from RNAcentral. Lineage: Eukaryota; Viridiplantae; Streptophyta; Magnoliopsida; Brassicales; Caricaceae.